GUUCUUUCACAGCAUGUAGUUCAAGCCCUUUCAGAUGGGGAAAGGCUAACUAAAUAGUGUAUGAUAAACUGUAUUUUCAGAGUUGGUAAAAACAAAAUAUACAGGAAAGAUCUCUGAGAAUUCUGAAUGUAACUGGAGAUAGGAUGGGAGGGCUGCCAAAGCAGUCUUGUAUAGGGCUCUGAUAAUGCAAUUUUUAAGUCAAAUGUGAAAAACCUAAUAGGAGUCCAUUGCUGAUACUAAGUACUUCCUCCUGAAACUUUCCAAUCACUUAGAAAACAGCUUUGAUGCAUAUCAUAGCAGAUGCUACCUGUGCUCUGCCUAUAAGUAGUAUAUGUCAGGGCAACCUACCAUAAGCACCCAUGACUCUGCACUUUAGAAUUUUAGCAUAAAGUGCAGGUGCAGCCCUCAGUCAAUGACCACAGGAAAGCCUCCAAGCUUUCUUGUCUUCCUUGCAUGGAAAGACUAGGGUGUGUUUCAUGUUGUCAUUCAAUGGCACUGAGCCCCAUGUACACACAGGGGUAAUCACUCGAUAACACUUCACCUCCAAAAUAAAUUACUUGGACUCAAAUUCUUGUCUCAAAGUUGACUUUUGGGAAAACACAACUUAAGACACUAGUGAACAAAGAGAAGGCUUGAGUCAUAGUCAUGUUGAUUUAAUCCUGCUGAGGUUGUCUUGCUCAAGAGCUUCAAGAAGGAGCUAGACUUAAAUGUGGUUAAAUAGUAUUCAGUGGAGAGGAUUAGGAGUGGCAGGACUUAUAAACUGACUUACUCACUAGGCUGGAGUUACUACUGAGAGCUCAGACUUAGUUGCUGCUUCUAAAAGAAAAUUGGGCUCCAAGGCAGUAGGUAGCAAAACUUAUAGUUUAUAUAAGCAGUUGGCUUCAGGAAUCUGGUACUAUAUCAGGCAGAAGAGUACAGUGAUGGUGAAUUGAGGUUAUAUUUGGAUAACCAGGCAGUGAUGGAGCACAUUGUCAGAAGGAAGCUGGACUCAGACAUGCCAUCAGAUCAGAAAAGCUGUUCAUUCUCGGAGAAUGAGCUGCUGGAACAUGGCAGAGUCCCAUUCUUAGGAAGACCUUGGUUCUAAACAUAAAACAACAUGUGGACUCAGACAAAAUGAAUAAGAGAAAGCCAAACUAAAAGACCAGGGUCAUAAGACAAUGAUUAAGAGCAUAGGCUUUUUAAUCUGAGAAUCUUUAGUUUGAAUCUUAGCUUCUCAAUUCCCUGAUGGGUGACUUUGGGCAUGCUGUUUUAGCCUUUCCUAAUCCAGUUUCCUCACCUGUAGAAUGGGGAUAACAGUUCCUCUCAGAAGGUUGUGGUAGAAUUUCAAUGAUGUAAAUAUAAAGUGGGAGGAAGAGGUUGGUAUCUCACUUCUACAACUGAGUAAGCAGGAACAGCCCAGACAGGUCACACUUUCCACUGGAAUCACAACUUGCAUAGAAUACAGAAAGAAGGUAAUGAUGUUCUAAGAAACAUGAGUGAUCAAAAACCCUAUCACAUCCUUUCUUACUAAUGUCAUUUCCUUGUACCAGCCAACCACUUUUACUGAAAAUGAUGCAUUCCAGGCAGAGAGCAGAAGAAACAAUGUGGCUUAAAAGUACAUGACUAGCUAUAAUAAGCAGGGUAGCAUGACCCAAGAGCAUGGAGUACAUGUAAGUGUGUGUGUGUGUGCGUGUGUGUGUGUGUGUACCGGAGAGUUAGGGGCACAGGGUUUAAGGGAUGGGGUAACAAGUAAAGCUGGAGAGGUCUUA
This 1748-nucleotide long non-coding RNA is filed under the name Marmota monax (woodchuck). The record is from RNAcentral. Lineage: Eukaryota; Metazoa; Chordata; Mammalia; Rodentia; Sciuridae.